RNAcentral lists this ribosomal RNA (369 nucleotides) under uncultured bacterium. RNAcentral's name for it is "bacterial SSU rRNA". It matches the Rfam family "Bacterial small subunit ribosomal RNA", at positions 527 to 896 of the family's 1533-position model. The record is from RNAcentral.
GUAGGGUGCGAGCGUUAAUCGGAAUUACUGGGCGUAAAGUGUGCGCAGGCGGCGCCGCAAGUCGAGUGUGAAAUCCCCGGGCUUAACUUGGGAAUUGCGCUCGAAACUACGGGGCUCGAGUGUGGCAGAGGGGGGUGGAAUUCCACGUGUAGCGGUGAAAUGCGUAGAGAUGUGGAGGAACACCAAUGGCGAAGGCAGCCCCCUGGGCCAACACUGACGCUCAUGCACGAAAGCGUGGGGAGCAAACAGGAUUAGAUACCCUGGUAGUACGCCCUAAACGAUGAUGACUAGUUGUUGGGGGAGUUAAAUCCCUUAGUAACGCAGCUAACGCGCGAAGUCAUCCGCCUGGGGAGUACGGUCGCAAGAUUA